CGUAGGGGGCAAGCGUUGUCCGGAAUUAUUGGGCGUAAAGAGCGCGUAGGCGGUCCGAUAAGUCGGCUGUGAAAGUCAUGGGCUCAACCCAUGAAAGCCGGCGGAUACUGUCGGACUAGAGUCCGGAAGAGGCAAGUGGAAUUCCCGGUGUAGCGGUGAAAUGCGCAGAUAUCGGGAGGAACACCAAUGGCGAAGGCAGCUUGCUGGGACGGUACUGACGCUGAGGCGCGAAAGCGUGGGGAGCAAACAGG
This 251-nucleotide ribosomal RNA is filed under the name uncultured bacterium. RNAcentral describes it as "partial 16S ribosomal RNA". It matches the Rfam family "Bacterial small subunit ribosomal RNA", at positions 526 to 776 of the family's 1533-position model. The record is from RNAcentral.